GACGAACGCUGGCGGCGUGCUUAACACAUGCAAGUCGAACGGAAAGGCCCUGCUUUUGUGGGGCGCUCGAGUGGCGAACGGGUGAGUAACACGUGUGUAACCCGCCCUUGACUUUGGGAUAACUUCAGGAAACUGGGGCUAAUACCGGAUAGGAGCUCCUGCUGCAUGGUGGGGGUUGGAAAGUUUCGGCGGUUGGGGAUGGACUCGCGGCUUAUCGGCUUGUUGGUGGGGUAGUGGCUUACCAAGGCUUUGAGGGGUAGCCGGCCUGGGAGGGGAAACGGCCACAUGGGGCCUACGAUACGGCCCAGACUCCAACGGGAGGCAGCGGGGGGGAAUAUUGCACAAUGGGGGGAAGCCUGUUGCAGCAGCGCCGCGUGCGGGAUAACGGCUUUCGGGUUGAAAACCACUUUGGCCUGUAACGAGGCGUGAGUGACGGUAAUGGGUAAAGAAGCACCGGCUAACUACGUG
RNAcentral lists this ribosomal RNA (468 nucleotides) under uncultured bacterium. Its description in RNAcentral is "partial 16S ribosomal RNA". It matches the Rfam family "Bacterial small subunit ribosomal RNA", at positions 28 to 507 of the family's 1533-position model. The record is from RNAcentral.